Long non-coding RNA from Diceros bicornis minor, 378 nucleotides. RefSeq lists it as uncharacterized. The record is from RefSeq and is a predicted model, not a curated record. The transcript is spliced from 3 exons. NCBI's taxonomy places the organism in Eukaryota, Metazoa, Chordata, Mammalia, Perissodactyla, Rhinocerotidae.
UUUUAGGGCCUCUGAAGACCAGAAUCCAGUCUUGCUGGGACAUCUGCAUCACAUGUGGGCGUUGAUUCUGAACACUGAACACCGUGUGGUACACAGAAUAAUGACCCCCCAAGAUGUCCGCGUCUUAAUCCCUGGACCUAUCAAUACUUUGCAGGUGUGAUUAAGACAGGAUCGUAUGUGUCCAUACUACCUGAAACUGCUACAGCUGUUGUUCAGCCAUGAAGGGGGUCAGCCCAGGGCAAAGCCGACUCACAGAGGAUGAGAGGGAAAAGAUGGAAAACCCUGGUCCUGAUGACAUCAUUGAGGCAAAUGGCUGUACUAUGCCUGGAGCGUACUCAAACUCUGGACAUCCUAUAAUGUGAAGUAAUAAAUUCCUUA